AGUGAACGUUGGCGGCGUGGAUUAGGCAUGCAAGUCGAGCGAGAACCGUAGCAAUACGGGGACAGCGGCGAAAGGGACAGUAAUGCGUAGGUACCUACCUCCGGGUUCGGGAUAGCUGCGGGAAACUGCAGGUAAUACCGAAUAACGUCUCCGGACCAAAGGUGUGAUUCCACCUGGCGAGGGGCCUGCAUCCUAUUAGCUUGUUGGCGGGGUAACGGCCCACCAAGGCGACGAUGGGUAGCGGGUGUGAGAGCACGACCCGCGUCAUUGGGACUGAGACACUGCCCAGACACCUACGGGUGGCUGCAGUCGUGAAUCUUCGGCAAUGGGCGCAAGCCUGACCGAGCGACGCCGCGUGCGGGAUGAAGGCCUUCGGGUUGUAAACCGCUGUCGUAGAGGAGGAAAUGCAGGGGGGUUCUCCCCUCUGUUUGACCUAUUCUAGGAGGAAGUACGGGCUAAGUUCGUGCCAGCCGCCGCGGUAA
RNAcentral lists this ribosomal RNA (482 nucleotides) under uncultured bacterium. RNAcentral's name for it is "partial 16S ribosomal RNA". It matches the Rfam family "Bacterial small subunit ribosomal RNA", at positions 28 to 523 of the family's 1533-position model. The record is from RNAcentral.